GUGUAAUGAUGUAAAAAGUAAUCAUUACUCUGAUACCUGAUGUCUACAAAGGAACCACUGAUGCAC
Molecule: small nucleolar RNA, 66 nt
Organism: Misgurnus anguillicaudatus (oriental weatherfish)
Lineage: Eukaryota; Metazoa; Chordata; Actinopteri; Cypriniformes; Cobitidae
Product: small nucleolar RNA SNORD42
Source: RefSeq, a predicted model, not a curated record